This 508-nucleotide ribosomal RNA is filed under the name uncultured bacterium. RNAcentral describes it as "bacterial SSU rRNA". It matches the Rfam family "Bacterial small subunit ribosomal RNA", at positions 28 to 528 of the family's 1533-position model. The record is from RNAcentral.
GACGAACGCUGGCGGCGUGGAUUAGGCAUGCAAGUCGAACGGUAUCAUCCUUUCGGGGGUGAGAGAGUGGCGAACUGGUGAGUAACACGUAGGUUAUCUACCCUCAAGACGGGGGACAACCCAGGGAAACUUGGGCUAAUACCGGAUGUGAGCAACUUUUAGUUGUUUGAAAGGUGGCGUAAGCUGUCGCUUGGGGAUGAGCCUGCGUCCUAUUAGUUAGUUGGUGAGGUAACGGCUCACCUAGGCAAUGAUAGGUAGGCGGCCUUAACGGGUGGUCGCCCACACUGGGAUUGAGAUACGGCCCAGACUCCUACGGGAGGCAGCAGUCGAGAAUAGUCUACAAUGGUCGGAAGACUGAUAGUGCGACGCCGCGUGAACGAUGAAUCCCUUCGGGGUGUAAAGUUCUUUUAUAUGUGAGCAGUGCUUCUAUAUUAACAGUAUGGGGAGAGAGAUAUUAGCAUAUGAAUAAGCAACGGUAACUCCGUGCCAGCAGCCGCGGUAAACUCGU